This 869-nucleotide ribosomal RNA is filed under the name uncultured bacterium. RNAcentral's name for it is "bacterial SSU rRNA". It matches the Rfam family "Bacterial small subunit ribosomal RNA", at positions 9 to 873 of the family's 1533-position model. The record is from RNAcentral.
AGAGUUUGAUCAUGGCUCAGGAUGAACGCUAGCGGCAGGCCUAAUACAUGCAAGUCGAGCGGCAAGUCGAGGAGUAAUCCAAGACCUAGAGCGGCGCACGGGUGCGUAACGCGUAUGUAACCUACCCUAUACAGGGGGAUAGCCCGGAGAAAUCUGGAUUAAUACCCCAUGGCACUGCGAACCAGCAUUGGAUUGCAGUUAAAGAUUUAUCGGUAUAGGAUGGACAUGCGUCUGAUUAGCUAGUUGGCGGUGUAACGGACCACCGAGGCGACGAUCAGUAGGGGUUCUGAGAGGAAGGUCCCCCACACUGGCACUGAGAUACGGGCCAGACUCCUACGGGAGGCAGCAGUAGGGAAUAUUGGGCAACGGACGAGAGUCUGACCCAGCCAUGCCGCGUGCAGGAAGAAGGCGUUCUGCGUUGUAAACUGCUUUUAUCUGGGAAGAAAAGGCCCAUGCGUGGGAUAUUGCCGGUACCAGAUGAAUAAGCACCGGCUAACUCCGUGCCAGCAGCCGCGGUAAUACGGAGGGUGCAAGCGUUGUCCGGAUUUAUUGGGUUUAAAGGGUGCGUAGGCGGCCGAUUAAGUCAGCGGUGAAAGUUUUGGGCUCAACCCAGAAAUUGCCAUUGAUACUGGUCGGCUUGAGUAUUGCAGGGGUACAUGGAAUUGAUGGUGUAGCGGUGAAAUGCAUAGAUACCAUCAGGAACACCGAUAGCGAAGGCAUUGUACUGGGCAACCACUGACGCUGAUGCACGAAAGCAUGGGGAGCGAACAGGAUUAGAUACCCUGGUAGUCCAUGCCGUAAACGAUGAUUACUCGCUGUUAUGCUCUAGUAGUGUAGGGGCCAAGCGAAAGCGUUAAGUAUCCCCCUGG